UCCUUUGACAAUUGUGAACAUGGGGUGAAAUACUAGUAUUGGCUUUUUCUUUGAAAGUUCAACUCAAAUUAAACAUAUAUCGGCUAAAAGGAUAGAUUUCCAGAAGAUACAAAAUUGACAAGAAGGAAUUGAAUGAAUAAAAGCUUUCCUUCACCCAUUUACAGCCAAUUUCAGCGCCAACAAGAAAUAAAAACCCAAAUUAAUUCCAAAAUAUAAAAGUCCCAAAACAAAGUCCAUUUUACAAAAAAAAAAAGAAAAAAAACAGCAAGCCCAAUAUCCACAUUGAACAGCCCAAACCCAAUUAUAAUGACCCAAAUAAUACAAAACCCUAAAGCCGACCUAGCCCAACAAACUAAACAUUUUCAGCAGCAAAAAAAACUCAGCCCCCAAGCCUCAGCCGCACACCAGGCCAACCAGUGGCCGCCUCGCACACCACCACGCAUGCCACCUCGGCCACCACGCCCCUGACCGUCGCCCCUUCCACGCGUCGCAUGGCACCUGCAACAAGAACAAACACGACAUCAAAAGAAAGCAUGCGAAUGACAAGAAGAAAUAAAAAAAAGGAACAAAAACAAAAAAAGAAACGAAUGUGUUGGGGGAGAUCGGCUUUAAAAAGUAAAAAUCGAUCAUUUGUAAAAGGGGGAGAGGGCACGUACAUUUUGAAUCAAAGAAGAGAACAAAUAUCUAAGGUUGAUCUCGAUAUACUUUUUCGCGUUCUAUUCAUUACUUUGUUUUUACUGAUAUUUGAAUACAAACUCAUUUAAAAGAAAAGGAGGCAGACAUAAGAUCAAUUAAAAAGAAAAAGAAAGAAGGCCUCACCGGGAUUGUCUGAAGUUUCGUCACCGGGGUUCUUCUUCCGUUGUCGGGGUUGAACCGAAUGGGGGAAGACCGAGAAGGCGUAGCCUUCGGGGACGCCUUGAAAAGGGGCUAAAUGACCUCACCCAUUCGCGUCGUCGACCAUCGCUUGUGGUGUUGCCGUGGUAAUAGCGGCGAUGAUAGGUUUCCUAACCUUAGCCAAAGGAGAAAAAUAGGAAAGGGAGAAGGAGAGGGGGCAAAGGCCCUCUGUUUUCCUCUUUUUUUUUUUAAAUAUAAGCUGAAAUAAAAAAAAAAAAAGAAAAAAAAA
Molecule: long non-coding RNA, 1123 nt
Filed under: Gossypium barbadense (sea-island cotton)
Lineage: Eukaryota; Viridiplantae; Streptophyta; Magnoliopsida; Malvales; Malvaceae
Description: long non-coding RNA (GBAR_LNC022972)
Source: RNAcentral